Molecule: long non-coding RNA, 14795 nt
Filed under: Ananas comosus (pineapple)
Lineage: Eukaryota; Viridiplantae; Streptophyta; Magnoliopsida; Poales; Bromeliaceae
Description: long non-coding RNA (ACOM_LNC007127)
Source: RNAcentral
UGGAUAGGGCCAUUGAGGGAUUUGGAAAACAUGUUGAACAUUAAAUUGCCUAAGUGUCAUUAAGGGGCACUAGGCGUAGCAAAUGUUGAAACUUCACAUUGUGACUUGAACUAGAUCUUCGGGAUGCUAGUGACUAUACCAUGUUAGAGACAUGAGGAUUGGAUACUUGAGACUUGGACUUUGCUUGCUUGCCAUUUGUGCUCAUUCGCACAUGCUUGUGAGGGUCGCUCCCUACAAGCCGGCACUCCGGAGUUAGCCUAUGCGACUUAUGUUCGCUCGUGCGGUAUUGAGAAGCCUACGGGGUCGAGUGGGACAGACACAUUCCAAGAGUAGGGAUGUUGGGCUACCACAGGCACUUAGGCGGCACAAGCUGGACUACCUUUGGUAGGUCCUUAAUUGGAAAUGAAAAUCGACACGGUGUUGUAUAUGAACAAUCACUACUAGAUAGGAUUAGUAGUUGGAUCACUUGGAUACGCUCAUGAUAUAGCAUUGGUACAUUUAGUAUACUUGCUGGCUUCAUUAUUGCAUCGUAGUAUACUUGGUUGUUUGGAUAGAGUUUACCCUUAUGCAUUGACAUAUUGCAUCGUGAGAUUUACUUGUUGAGACAUAUUAGUAUGCAGUGGACAUAUUACCUUGUGAUAGCGUAGAUGUACAUCACAUAGCAUCUGCUUACUUGAGACAUAUGGGUUAGCACUUCAUUUAUGCUUUCUUACCGUGUUACUAUUAUCUUUAUUGCUAAUAAUAUCUUGUACUUACCCUUGUUUUUGGGGCCUAGUGGAGCAGGAGCUGAUGUCAGUAAUUGCCCACUGGGAACUAUAAAUUAUAGUUCUCACGCCCUCUUUUUCUGGAUGUUUUUCAGAGCCUUCCACUCAGGGUUAGGCCAGGGAUCGUGGGAAGGGCGUUGCUUCGAGCUAGCUUCCUUUGAGGACGAGUUGCUAGGUGGUCCACCUCUCGAUUUAUAUUUCUUUUUGCGAGAGGUUGAGGAGUUUACCAGUGUACUAGAGACCACCAUUUUUGUACUAGAAACAAAUAUUGUAUAACUUAUGUUUACUCUUAUGUAUUAGUCAUGUUCUAUUACUUUUAGUAUAGAUGUUAGAACUUUACUCGUUCUGAUAUCAUUAGUUGCCUGUUAUUUCACUUCUUUUAUUUGUUCCAUCUCUUACUUUUACUUCCGCUUUUCUUGUAAACGCCUUAUAUGUGUAGACAUAUGGCGGGUCUGGGCACGCUACCGGGAGGGCCUCCGCCGGUCCCGGGGCGNCGCCCACCUCCUUGCCGACCCUUGCGCCGCUGAGGCCUUCGUGCCGAGGCCACCCGCUCCGAGGCCGCUUGCUCCUCGACUCGAAGCCGCGCCACCCGCGGCCGAUCUGCCUGAAGCCCCGCCACCCGCGGCCGAUACUUUCGAAGCCGCGCCACCCGCGGCAGGUCCGCCCGAAGCCACGCAGAGGCUCCGUCGAAGUCGCCGUCACCCGAAGCCGCGCCACCCGCGGCAGGUCCUCUCGAAGCCGCGCCACCCGCGGCCGAUUCACCAGAAGCCGCGCCACCAGUGGCCGGUCCUCUCGAAGCCGCGCCACCCGCGGCCGAUUCACCCGAAGCCGCGCCACCCGUGGUCGGUCCUCUCGAAGCCGCGCCACCCGCAGCCGAUCCGCCCGAAGCCGCUCCACCCGCGACCAAUUCGUCGAUGCGCAUGCCGAGCCGCCGCCCAUGACUCUGUUCGUGAUCUCGGCCGAUCCGUCGACGCCCGCGCGCCGUCGUCGACUUUGAUGGCUCGAACCCGAGGAGUUCCCUCUGAUGCCGCGUCGCUCCACCUCGAAGGCCGCAGCCCCGUUGAUGCCGCGCCGCUGUCGUGGCCCUUCACCGCUGCAGAGCGCCGCCGUCACGGCCCUCCUCCGUCGCGGUCUCAGAUCCGCGGCUCCACUAUCGGGUCACAGCCCCAGCGGAGCUCCGGCAUCAGCAAAGCCCGCCAUCUGCUCGACGGCGAUCCUGAGAGAGAGAGCGGUGCUCUCCUCUCAAACGGGUUCCGCCCGCCAAGUGCUUGAUGUGCCCGGAGUCCGCCCACCAACCGCUCGACGGCGAUCCUGAGAGAGAGAGCGGUGCUCUCCUCUCAAACGGGUUCCGCCCGCCAAGUGCUCGAUGUGCCCGGAGUCUGCCCACCAACCGCUCGACGGCGAAUCUGAGAGAGAGAGCGGUGCUCUCUUCUCAAACAACGGCAAAUUCGAGAGAGAGAGAGAGAGAGAGCAGUGCUCUCCUCUCAAAUGAAGUUAGAUCCGCUCGCCAAGUGCCCGACGGCGAAAUUGAGAGAGAGAGCAAUGCUCUCCUCUCAAAUGAAGUCAAGUCCGCCAACCGCUCCGACGACGAAUCCAAGAGAGAGAGCGGUGCUCUCCUCUUAAACAAAGUUCGCCCGCUAAUUGCUCGGUGGCGAAUCAUAAAGAGAGCGAUGCUCUCAUUUACCGACCAAUCAUUCGACGAAAUACUUCGUCGUCGACGUGCUAAUCAAACCGCUCGAUGGAAUGCCGAGAUGAACAUCGAUGGUGCUUUUUGCAAAAUAUCACCAAAAAGAGAGAUCACUCUAAAAGAGAGAGAGAGCUUUGACAAAAUCACAUUAGACACUUCAAAUUAAAUUGAAAUUUAAUUUGUUAUUUGAUCAAAAUAAAACCUCGAGACAUGAAUCUAGGCCCGAUCAUAUGGACCUAAGUCAUUGAACCUCAACCCAUCCGUAUUAAAUCAACACUUUGACUCUAAACCCAUUUAACCCAAUCUAAUCUAAACCCAUUAACCUUAACCUCAUCUAAAAUCCAUUAACUGUUACCCAUAACCCAAUCCUAUAACCCAAUCCAAUUAAACCUUAGCCCAAUUCUAAACCCAUAACCUAUAACCCAAUCCAAUUAAAUCUAGGCCUAGUCCAAAGCCCAGAGCCCAUUUACAAAUGGCCCCGGUCCAAAACCCAUUCGGGCCCACUAUCUAAGCCCAUUAUCCAAAACUCAUUAAAACCAUUAACCCAUAAACCCAUAUACAUAAACCUAUAUACAUUUACCCAUGAACCCAUACACAUUUAACCCAUAUCCAAGCCCAUAACCUUAACCAAGUCCAUGAACUUUGAACCAAAACCAUGGACCAAACCAUACACCAAAUCCUGUGGACCAUACCAUACACCAAAUCCACGAACUAUGAAUCAAGUUCAUGAAUCAAAUCAAGUUCAUGAGCCAUGGAUCAUAAACCACAAACCAUACACCAAGUUCAUGAACCAUAAACCCAUGAACCAUAAGUCCAUGAACCAUAAACCCAUGAACCAUAAGUCCAUGAACCAUAAACCCAUGAACCAUAAGUUCAUGAACCAUAAACCCAUGAACCAUAUCUAAGUUCAUGAACCAUAAUCCCAUAUACCCAAUACCAUAAACCUUGUGAACCAAACCCAAUCAAUCGACCGAAACGUCGUUAAACUAAUCCACCAAAUCAAUCGACCGAAACGUCGUUAAACUAAACCUAAAUCCGAUAUCGACCGAAAUGUCGUUAAACUAAACUCAAGUUCAAUUUUCACGAACAUCCCAAUUCCCAAAAUAUUCGAUUCUCUAGCAUAUAAAACUAGAGUCAAAUCACAAUUAUGUUCAAACUUGAUCAAAUUCUAAACCUAUAUUUAGAAUUGAUCAAACCAUCUGAUCAAAUUAAUUUGUUGGAUUCCAAUACAUACAUUUGGAGUUUAAUUUAAAUCAAAUCUGACUAAUCCUAAUACAUAUAAUUAGGAUUUAGUUAAUAUUUCACCUUGAGAUGAACCAAAAUCAAAUGUGACUAAGCUCUAAUACAUAAACUUAGAGACUAAUUGUAUCAGACUCUAAAAUAUAAAAUUAGAGUCUAAUUCAAGAUAUUUGGGGCUAAUCCUAAUACAUAUAUUUAGGAUGAAAGCUCAAAUCAAACUCUAUUGGACUUUAUUACAUAUAUUUUUAAAGUUCAAUUAACCAAAUCAACUUCUAAUACAUAUAAUUAGAGUUUAAUCAAGUUCGAUUAAAUUCCAAUGCAUAUAUAUGGGAUUUAAUCAAUCUUUCAUCUCAUGGUAAACAAAGUUGAGCUCCAAAAUAUAUAGAGCUCAACAAAAUCUGAUCAUCUAUUGGACUUUAUUACAUAUAUUUAAAGUUCAAUUAACCAAAUCAAACUCUAAUACAUAUAAUUAGAGUUUAAUCUGAAUUAAAUCUGAUUAAAUUCCAAUACAUAUAUAUAUGGAAUUUAAUCAAUCUUUCAUCUUAGGGUGAAUAGUGUUGAGCUCCACAACAUAUAGAGUCCAACAAAAUUAAUUUGACCAUAUAUUGGGUAUCUUAGAAUAUAUAACUAAGAUACAAUUGAAAAAUACAUUUUCUUUACGCUCUAUUCAUGUACACUGAGGGUAUGCCCUUGGUUAAAGCCAUGUAAUUGAGCAAUAAAUUGUAAAUUUUCUUUUGUCCAAUUCUAUUUUAUCUUCAGCAUUUCAGAGGUCUCUUAAUCGAAGGUGCCCUAAUAUUCUAUAGGGGUAAUUAACAAUAGACGCUUGCGUUUAUUGGAAGCCAUGGAUCCGCAAUACCUGAUAACCAUACAUACACAUAUUUUAAUCUACAUCAUGAAUACUACCCCACGGGAGAACCAAAAGAUAAAAAUUUCCCGUGCGAGGUGCGUCAUUCGUGGUGGCAGACAAAAUGGCACGCCCGGUGGGACUCGGCUUCUCCUUCCAUCUUUGAGACCGAUGAUAUGCUAAUAGAAUUGGACGGUAAAUAUUUAAUCUACACUCGUUAUUCCCCUGCAGGAGAAAUGGCACCUAAGAACACUGCUGCGGGCUCGAUGACGAUCAAGGCUGGUCAGGUUUCCCUGCCAGCAUCCAUCCUCACUUUCGGAGCUGCCGGUGCUACAAUCCAAUUCGGCACCAUCCCGGAAGAGGCUAGGGCUGCUGCUAUGGCCCCUUUCACUGCUGCUACCAGCACCGACAUCGUUAAGACUGUGGUUCCCCGCCUUCUCUCUCGCGGAAGGCGCCCGAAUGUCGUCAUCCCCAACCCUCCUCGCGUUCCAAUGAAGGAGAGGAUGACUCUUAACGCCUCUCGUGUCCCUGUGAGGGAGAGGAUCACGCCUAUCAGUGCUUCAAAGAGAAUGGAGCUACAAGGUAGGCUAGUGUUCCAAAAUCGAAGUGAGGGAACAUCGCCACUUGAUAUGGCGCCUAAAGCGUCAGUCUUCAAUAGGUUGACGAUCCCCAAGAAUGCUGUGUCUCCUAUGACAAAGGCAUUCAAAAGAAAUCUUCGCCGUACUUUGAAGCGGCAAGAGAUGAACAAGGAACAGAAGUCUCGACAAACCCAACUUACUAGGUUUGUCGCUGGACCUGAUGUUUUGGUCCAUAACCGAUAUGCACCCCUGAGGUUUGUGAGGAAAAACUCACCUACGACCGUUCUGUGCCCAGAGUCAGAAAUGGCCCACUUAAAGCCUUCCCCUGCAUGUUCUCGUUCGAGAAACAAUAACGAGAACCCUGUCUGCAAGCGGAUAUAUAAAGCCUUUAAGGCUGCAAAGGGAAGGAUAAACAUAGAGAAGAAGAUUGAGAAGCCAAAAUGGCAGCGAAGGUCGACGCUAUCCCAUGAAGAGAGAAAAACAGAAUGGAAGCCCAAAACUCUUACUCAAAUCAAAGAAGAAAAAUCUAAAAAUUUGGAGAUUCAUACUGUGAGAGUUAUAGGGCGUGUGCCCUCAAGUGAGGCUGUUAACGAAGAAGAAACAAUUCAACAAAUGCUUACCAGAGCUGCUGCAAGAAAAGCAGCAGAAGAGAAGGCGAGAGCUAAAGAAACAAGCUCUUUGCAAAACGCUGGGAAUAAAGAUGACUUACCUGGUGAUCUAUCUGAUCCACGGGAGGAAGAAGAGGUUGUAUUCUUCCCUAGGGAUCCAAAGGAUGCUAUAAUCGCAUCCUUGAAAAAGAAAGUUGAUGAAAAAGAUAGAGAUAUUAUAAAUCUCUAUAAGAAAAUAGAGGAGGUUAUGGGUUUGAUGAUGAAUGUACAGAAACAGUUGGAGAAUCAACGGCAUCAAACCAAGACUCCAGCUCGGACAGAAGCACCCGCACCCCAAGUCAUUAAUGAACAGGCUAAAACAACUGUUCCUAAAGAGACUACCUCUUUGACUAAAGAAGAGAUUCAUGAUUUGAUCACUUCUUAAGUUAAAGAAACGGUAGCGGGGGCAAACCCAAAACCAAAAGGGAAAGGACAUCCUUAUCUAUCAGAAUAUGAUAAUAUACCUUUUCCAGACGGGUAUCAAGUCCCUAAGUUCAAAAUGUUCUAUGGUGUUGGUAACCCUGAUCAGCACCUAGCACAUUUUAAGGCCAUGUGUGGAAAUACCGGGAGUAACGGGCCUCUACUCUUACGACAAUUUCCACAAAGCUUAUCGGGUAUAGCCUUUGAAUGGUACUACUCCCUCGAGGAUGAGUCCAUUAAAACUUGGCCCGACAUGGAAGAAGCUUUCAAAGCAAAAUUCGCCACUGCUAGCGAUAAGAUUACUAUCGCUGAUCUGGUAGCCACCAGACGAAGGAAAGAUGAAACGAUGUUAGAUUACAUCACACGGUGGCGAAACUUAAGUAUAAGGUGUGAACAACCUCUAGAUCAGACCCAGGCCGUUGGUCUUGUUAUGGGCAACAUUGAUAAUUGGAUGGCCCCAUUUCUUUGCACAUCUAGUUGUUCCACCUUUCAUGAAUUAAUAUCAAACGUCUCUAGGUUGGAGAGAACUGAUCCCCAAGUUUAAUAAAUGUACAAAAGACAAAAAGGGAUGAUAAUAAAAGAGUUGAGGCAAAGAUGGCACAGGCUAGACCGGCCCGCACGAACAUGAUAGAAAAAGGUAAAAGGGCAAUUACCUCUGCAGUUGAACAGACCCCUGUAAAGCCUAUGUUUGGGGGCAAUAAUCCAAAAGCACUUUCUCUGGAAGAGUGAAGAAAUAAAGUGUACCCUUUCAAACGGGAAAAAGUUAAGAAAAUAUUUAACGAUGCUGUUAAAAAUGGUCUUCAACUGCCCGAGCCAAGGAAGCCGGAGGUGUGGAAAAACUGAUAAUCCAAAAUACUGCCCAUAUCAUAGGCUAAUUAGCCAUCCAAUUGAAGAUUGCUGGGUUUUCAAAGACUGGAUUGAAAAACAAUAUAAAACCGACGCAAUUACCCUUUCACAGUCGGUAUUAUCAGAAACGCCAGUCGAACAGACCAAUAUGAUUGGUGUGGGUGCGGAAAAUAUAGAAGGAAUUGAAAAUGCAUUUUCCCCCGAGUUUUGGAAUAUAUUCUUAUCUAAGAAAACUCGAAAAAUGUUAAAAUAUUUAAAAGAGGUUCCAGGGAUAAAGUGGCGAGGCCCUUUAAACCCGGAAGUGCAGUCUGAGGAUAAGCCCAUGCCUUCAGUCAAAAAAUCUAAUACUCCAGCCAAGUCGAGGCGCAGAAUAGCUCGGGCGAAAAAGAAUAAGAAAUUCGUUGAGCCAGCUGAGCCACAGCAUAAAAAACGGCCUAUUGAGGAACAUAUUGACUCAAUGGAAGAAUAUAAACAGGCUGAAAGGGAUCCUCUUCUGAUUCAUGAUUUUAUUUCCAAAGCAAUAGAAGAGGCUAAGAAAAAGAAAAACUCUGAUGAAGGAAAAAUUCCUGUUGAGGAAUGUAAAGAAACAGAAGAGCCUUUUUGGGGAGAGGCUUGCAGAGUUAUCACCACGCGACGCGACGAUGAAGAAACUUUUCCUUCUGGCCGCGUUAGAGAACAAGAAAGGAAUCUCAGAGAAAUUCAUAGCCAAUUGGCUGAGAUAAAAGAAAUGACACGUUGCAGCUUUCACAGGGUAAAUGAUAAUAUAUUGGAUAUGAAAGCAUGCUUGAAUGUAAUGUUCUCUAUGAUGAUUGGGAUCGAAGCCAGAGUGGAACAAUUAAUGAAAAUUACUCCUCUCCCUCAGCAGACUCAGUCACAAAACCACAGAGAACGGGAGAUCGAGCCGUUGCCAAGGCUUACAAAUCGAUCUUCAAAUCAGCAUUCACCCAAUACUUUUCGAAGUGAUAAAGGAAAAACCCCUCUUAUAGAAACUAAAAAUAUGGGUGGGGAAUGUCCGAGAACGGCACUGACAGAAAGAAGGAAUUCUCAGUAUUCUAACGGCGAAAGUACACCCAUGUAUUGUCCUUUUCAUGAAGUGAAAGGACAUAACCUAGAAAACUGUUACGCUUUUCAACAUAUGAGAAAAUCAAGAAAGCAGUUUUCUCAAAGGACAAAUAUCAAGCAAAAUACCAGAAGCACAAGCCACGAGAAAAAUAAGGACAAGACUAUUCCUUACACACGGGAGUCAUGCCGUGUGAUUACAAUAUCUGAUGACGUGUCAGAUGACGUGUCAGAAAGCCCUGCGCCGACCCUGGGGGCAAAUCAACAGACCUCCACACCAAACGAUGAUACUUAUGUUGAUCCUUUGGAAUUAUAUGACACUUCAACUUAUAAUGAUCCAAUGAAUAAGUUGUAUAGAAUGGAGUGUCGCUUAAUCAGAAUGGAGGGAGAAAUGAGGGGGCUGCACAAUGAUAUUAACUUCAUAAAGAUGAAUAUGAACAGUAUGACUGGCGAUAUAAAGGGCAUAGAUAUUCAAAUGAGAACUAUAAUAGAUAUGCUCAAGACAGAUGCUACUGAAGCAUCAAAAAGAUGUCGGGUUGAGACAUGCCGAGUCAUAACUGUGCAAGUUGAUUCGGAGCAAUUAAAGUCAACAAAAGCCGAAUACGACGCAAAUUUCUAUGAAGCACACAUAAUUGCUCAAGAAAUUAAAAGAAUGUCGGUGAGAGGAAAUGCAGGGUCAUCUUCGCUGAAAAAGAAGAAGAAACCAACUCUAAGCCAGCAGUCAGAGGCUCGCCAGAAUAAUGAACCUCUAAUUAAGGAAGGGAAAAAGAAAGUUAUAUCGACAGAGUUCUGUUCCUAUCACAAUAUAUGGGGGCACACCCUAGAAAAUUGUCGCCAAUGAAAAAAGAUGCAGAAUCUAACUGUUGACAAGGCGAAGCUAAAGGUCGAUCAACCGACGGUUGCCGGGUCCAAAAGUCAACGAUGGAAGAGACAUCUGCCACGAUUUGAGAAACAACAACCCAUUACUCUGGAAGAAUUCAGAAAAGCAUGCUAUGAUGCUUUCGAUGAUAUGAAACCGCGUUGUUGUUGGUGUAGAGCGAGAGGUCAUGCUUAUGAUGUAUGCGUGAAACUUCGAGACCAUAGAAAAAACAAAUCACAGCUCAAAGAGUCGUGUCGAGUAAUAACAAUCUCUGAAGAGCAAUCUGACGACUCUGUAAAUCAAGAGAAUAGGGUCAGGCAAUCUGCUGGUGCACGUGAAGAUGAUGAUACCGCGUGGCUAGCAUACAAUACCCCGAGCAGGGAUUAUGGUGCAAGGAGAAUGGAAUAUCGUCUUCUUGAGAUUGACAAUGAUUUGAGGAGAGUGCAGAUUGAUGUACGCUCUCUAGCAACAAACAUAGAUUGUGUGGCCAUGGCGGUAAAAAGCAUGAAGGAACAAUUGAAAGAGAUCCUCAACCAGUUGAAUACUCUUGAAAAGACUAGAGUCGAAACAUGCCAAACUGUUACUUAUGGUACUGACUCUAAUACUAAGCAAGAUAAAGAAGCUGAGGAUUCUUUGCAAAUCACGCUGAAAUCCGGAAAAGUAUUACCAGAAAGACAAGGACAUCCCCAAAAUCUUAAAGAUAAAGAAAUUCGGAUAAAUGAAGAGGCACCGACUUCAUCAAGUCAAGGGAGAUUAUCAAAGGCUGACUAUAACAUACUUUCCCAUUUAAGAAAAGUGCCUGCUUUGCUGAGUGUUUAUGACGCUCUGAUGAUGUCCAAAGAACUUCGGUGUAACACACUGGACCUUUGCAAAUUGCGAGGUUCGAGUGUUUGGAUGUAUUUCGAGCUUUUCCACACUUGGUGAAGGGUUGUAGAAUAUUUUCCGACCUAAAAAGUUCGAAAAUCGGGAUUCUGGAUAAGUCCUGAGAGUUUUUACUCUCGGGGACCGGUCCCUGGAAGGAGAGACCGGUCCCCCAGUGAGCAGUGUUGAGGCAGCCUGAGGCAACCGGUCCCUGGCAGGCGAGACCGGUCCCCGAGCGCAUCUUCGCAGUCAGAGACCGGUCCCGCCCAGGGAGAGACCGGUUCCCGAAUGCUGGUUUUUCGGGUUCGCAGCGAGAGACCGGUCCCUGCUGGGGAGAGACCGGUCCCUCUGGGCGAAAACUGCCCAGUUCGGACUGAUGCAAAUUUGAAUUUUUGAGGGGCCUCUCCGGAUUUUGUUACACUAGUUGGGCUUAUUAGCCAUUUCCUCCUCUUCCCUCUCUCAUUUUCUCAUUCUCACCCUCUCCCUACACUAUCUAGAGAGAGAAGAAGAAGAAGAAGGAGCAGAAGAAGAAGAGGAGCUAGCUUGAGGGAGCUUGGAGCUCAACCCCUUUCUCUCUUUUCCACCUUUGCAAGGCUUGGAGCUUGCUUAUAGAGCUUAGUGGUGGACCAAACUUCAACCCUAGGGCAUUUUGGGCUUGGAUUGAAGCUUCCAAAGGGUUAGUAUCAUGUUUCCCUCCUCUAGAUUCUUAUUUUAGUGAUUUUUGGGAGAUGAAACCUUAGAAAUGAGAUUUAGGGUUGAUUUUAGGGCUUUUUGAUCUAGGGCCUUUGAGGCUAGAUUAAUUGGUUUAGAACCUUCCUAGGGCUUGGAUUGGAAUGGUUCUAGCUCUCUUUUGGAGCUUUGGGAGAGAUUUCUACUCUUGAGAUUAGUUUUGGCCCUUUUUGCUUCUAGGUUAAUGUUUGAUAUUAUAAGAUGGUCGUAAUGCCCUCGUAUCUCUUCGCUGAUUACUUUUAGGGUAUUUUGAGACUCGGGGACAACUUUGUUCGGCGGAACGAGGCCCUACGCGACGGUUCGGUGGGUUUGACCUAGCCACACAAUGAGAAAUUCUCCUUUGUGCUUAAUUAAGUAUCGUUAAAUGAAAAAGCAUGCAUAUUCUUGUUAUAUGUAUUUAUUGUGAAUUUUAGAAUGCUUAAAAGGCCUAUGUUGUAUAUGAUGAAAUUUUGGACCUCUAUGGAGUAGAGAGUAGCUUGGUAGGCCUAUGGUUGCAUUUAGCGUUCUAUAUGAGACUUGAUUUCAUGCUUCUAUAGUGUACAUGAGUUUUGAUUCAUGCAUUUAAACUUAAGUUUACUUGUGACAUGAAAGAUGAUGAAAUUGCCAUAUAGAGGUAUUGGAACUAGAAUGUACAUGAUCUAGAGCUAAUGUCAUCAAGCGGCAUUGAGCUCGGGACAUGUGAGAACCUAGUGGAUAGGGCCAUUGAGGGAUUUGGAAUACAUGUUGAACAUCAAAUUGUCUAAGUGUCAUCAAGGGGCACUAGGCGUAGCCAAUGUUGAAAAUUCACAUUAUGCCUUAAACUAGAUCUUCGGGAUGCUAGUGACUAUACCAUGUUAGAGACAUGAGGAUUGGAUACUUGAGACUUGGACUUUGCUUGCUUGCCAUUUGUGCUCAUUCGCACAUGCUUGUGAGGGUCGCUCCCUACAAGCCGGCACUCCGGAGUUAGCCUACGCGACUUUUGUUCGCUCGUGCGGUAUUGAGAAGCCUACGGGGUCGAGUGGGACAGACACAUUCCAAGAGUAGGGAUGUUGGGCUACCACAGGCACUUAGGCGGCACAAGCUGGACUACCUUUGGUAGGUCCUUAAUUGGAAAUGAAAAUCGACACGGUGUUGUAUAUGAACAAUCACUACUAGAUAGGAUUAGUAGUUGGAUUACUUGGACACGCUUAUGAUAUAGCAUUGGUACAUUUAGUAUACUUGCCGGUUUCAUUAUUGCAUCGUAGUAUACUCGGUUGUUUGGAUAGAGUUUACCCUUAUGCAUUGACAUAUUGCAUCGUGAGGUUUACUUGUUUAUUAUGUUGAGACAUAUUAGUAUGCAUUGGACAUAUUACCUUAUGAUAGCGUAGAUGUACAUCACCAUGGCAUCAUGCUUACUUGAGAUAUAUGGGUUAGCACUUCAUUUAUGCUUUCUUACUGUGUUACUAUUAUCUUUAUGGUUAUUACUAUCUUGGACUUACCCCUUUCCUUUUGGGGCCUAGUGGUGCGAUGAGCUGAGGUCAGUAAUUGCCCACUGGGAACUAUAAAUUAUAGUUCUCACGCCCUCUUUUUCUCGAUGUUUUUCAGAGCCUUCCACUCAGGGUGAGGCCAGGGAUCGCGGGAAGGGAGUUGCUUCGAGCUAGCUUCCUUCGAGGACGAGUUGCUAGGUGGUCUACCUCUCGAUGUCUUAUUUUAUUUUGCGAGAGGUUGAGGGUUUUACCAGUGUACUAGAGACCACCAUUUUUGUACUAGUGACAGAUAUUGUACUACUUAUGAUUUCUUUUAUUGUCUAGCUUUACUUCUUUACCUUGGUGUAGAUGUUAGAACUUUACUCGCUCUGAUAUCAUUAGUUGCUAGUUAUUUCACUUCUUUUAUUUGUUCUAUCUCUUGCUUUUACUUCCGCUUUUCUUGUAGACGCCUUAUAUGUGUAGACAUAUGGCGGGUCUGGGCACGCUACCGGGAGGGCCUCCGCCGGUCCCGGGGCGUGACAGAUUAAUUUGGUAUCAGAGCCUAGGGUUGAGUCUUAGUGGACCUAGUAAACCUUAGGCCGGUUGGACUAUAGGAAUUAGGCUCGUGAGAGACGAGGUCUAAGUGACUUGUGAGCGAAAGUAUCCUGAUUGGGUGUCUUGAUAGCUCUACAAAGGUUAGAGUUUGAUCGGAGUGUAUGGCUUCUAACUUCGCGGAGGGUUACGUUGGCGGCCGACAACGUAACAUCGGGAGUUAGUUGUGAAGGACACUUCCUUACUUUCGCAUGAUUUGGAAUUUUAUCUAUUUGAGCGGGGAUGCGACAGCGUGGGUUACAAACUUGCGCUUUUAUGUUCUGUAGUGACGAUGCCGAUUACACGCGCCCAGUCUGCCGGGGCGGAUGAUGCGGCACACCCCGAGGAGGUCGAGACCUCCGCUACUUCCGGAUCCAGUGAGGUCCGCGACCUGAGGGCCCAGCUUGCGGUUCUCACUGAUCUGUUGGCGCAGCAGACGACGGCGGCGCAGCGACAGGCUGAGGUGGCUCAGCGGCAGGAGGCGCGGAUGAAGCACCUCGAGGACCUCCUACUUCAGCAGGCGGCAGCUUCGAGGGAGACUCAGGGUCCCACACCGCCAGCACCCGUGGUGGACGUCGCACCGAGGGCGCAGUCCCCCGCGCCCAGUUCUUCACGUGCGGCACCGGCGACCGCACCUCGGGAGGAGGUGGCUGCGGCACUACCUGCUCAGAGACCGGUGACAGGGGCAGCAUUCCCCGUGAUGGCCGAGGGAGCCGAGCGGGAUCGGCUUAUGGAGCGCCUCGGUGAGUUUAGGAGGUGCAGCCCGAGGACGUUUGAUGGCGAGAACGUCGACCACUGGAUUGUUGAGAAGUGGUUGCUGCACAUGGAGAAGCUGUUUCGAGACACUUUUGUGGAGGAGCGGGAUAGAGUUUGGCUCGCCACUCACUUUUUGGACGGGGAGGCCUGUCGUUGGUGGUUGGAUAUCCAGGACAACCCCAACACCGACUUGGCAGCGAUUACUUAGAUGAGGUUCAAGGAGCUUCUUCUGGCGCACCACUUCCCGACCAGCGUUAAGAGGAAGAUGGGGCAGGAUUUGCGCAGCUUGCGCUAGGAUGAGCGGACAGUGGCGGAGUACGAGAGGGAGUUCUCCCGGAUAUUACACUGUGUACCGUUUGUGGUGAGGGAUGACGAGGACAAGGCCCGCAUCUUUGAGCGCGGUUUGCGGCCUUCCAUCUUCCGGUUGGUGUAAUCUUCCAACCUCCAGACCUACCGGGAGGUUGUGGAUCGAGCCUUGAUUGUGGAGGCGGGAGCGGCAGAUCUGCAGGAGCGUCGCGAGAGCUUGGAGAAAGGGAAGGGUAAGAGGCCCGCGGCUGAGGGUGCGAGUCAGACGCACUCACGGAAGCCGCUGAGGCAUCCCAGGAGCAGGAGCCAGUCGCGAGGACGCGGCCAGUCUACCCAGCGAGGAGGACCCGAUCGUCGCCAGGCUCCCCGCUGCGUGAUCUGUGGCGGUCCCCAUUACCCGCGGCAGUGUUCACGCAGCCGGGGCAGGUGCUUCUUGUGUGGCCAGGAGGGCCACUUCCAGUCGGACUGCCCGAGGAGUCCAUUGCCAGCGCCAUCUGCGGCAUCUGCACCAGCAUCGCCAGGUCCCAGCCAGGGGACAUCUUCUGCGCAUCACCAGGCAGGACGGCCGCCAGUUCUGCGACAGGCGGAGGGGUCACGACAGGCCCCGAGCGGGCGCAUGUACGCGGCCCAGACUGAGGAGGCGGCGGCAGCCAAGAAUGUGGUCGCAGGUAUCAUUUUACUUUAUGGUAUUCGAGCUAGAGCUUUGUUUGAUACGGGUGCAUCGCAUUCAUUCAUUGACCGGCUGUUUGCCGAGUUGCAUGGCAUCCCACUUGCAUGCUUAUUGCAUCCAGGACGAGUUACUGUACCCGAUCACUCUUUGGACAUUCGGGAGUUUUGUCCCAGUUGCCCUGUUAGGAUUGGAGAUUGGAUCAUGCCCGUGGACUUGUUAGCGUUGCAUAAACUCGGAGAGUUUGAUGUAGUGUUGGGCAUGGACUGGUUGACUAAGUACUACGCCACCAUCGAUUGCAAGGAUCGAACGGUAACGUUUAGAGAGCCGGGGCAGGCGGAGGUUGUGUACCGAGGAUGCCAGAGUUCGCUGUUUGCGAUGACGAUUAGCUCUUCUCGAGCUCGGCAGUUGAUUAGUAGAGGCUGCGUAGCCUAUUUGGCUACUGUCGUGUUGCGAGGCGAUGCGGACGCCCCUAGGAUUGAGGAUAUUCCCGUAGUGCGGGACUUUGGAGAUGUGUU